GCCCUCCUGGUGAGAUCCCAUGGUGUCCCCUGGCCUCCAGUGUCAUCUGCUCUGCGUGAUAUCUCCAGGGGGACCUCUCUGCUGGGCUCCAGGCCGCAUGGCUGUGGGUGACCAGCAUGAUGUCCCACCAGGACCCCUGCAGUCCCAGCGCACCUGCCUGCUCAUCCAGGGACCUGUCCUCACUGCCUGCUGCCCGCACUGUGUGGAAGGACAGAGGCUAAACGAGGAAGCCUCGAGCUCUGGUCUCAUGGAAAUGGCAGCCUGCCCACCAUCCACGCCUGCCCAGCCUUUCUUCACGCAGGAAGAAUAUUUCUCAGCCCUCCGUUCUCAAGACAGAUGAGUGCUUUAGAAAGAGGACUCUGCAGCGGCGAGGAGGAUGGAAUGACAGGCAAAGCACGCAGGACCAGGAGAUGGCUUCGUUCCCUCAAUCACUCAUCCAAAGAUGUUUAAUGAGCACCUACUGUGUGUCAGGCAUUGUGCUGGGCAAUGGGGAUAUCGUAGUCAGUAUCAGUAAUAAGUGAGGAGAGAUGAGUUCAUUUGUGAGAGGCUCUGACCAGUGGAAUCAGAGGAAGGGAGGGCCCAGGGUGGGCCAGAUUCAAAGACAUUUUGGAAGUAGAAUCUGCAGAACAUCAUGAUCUUUUGGAAACAGGGCAGGGACGUGAAUGAGCACGUAAUGUCCCCAUGGGUUUGUCUUUCCGAAGGUUUGAAAUCCUCAAGAAUAAGGAACAUAGGCAUGUGUGGUAAUGGUCUCCACGGUGGGGGAGUAUUAUG
RNAcentral lists this long non-coding RNA (771 nucleotides) under Pongo abelii (Sumatran orangutan). RNAcentral describes it as "lincRNA". The record is from RNAcentral. Lineage: Eukaryota; Metazoa; Chordata; Mammalia; Primates; Hominidae.